Anolis carolinensis (green anole) is the source of this 3296-nucleotide long non-coding RNA. RefSeq lists it as uncharacterized. Lineage: Eukaryota; Metazoa; Chordata; Lepidosauria; Squamata; Anolidae. The record is from RefSeq and is a predicted model, not a curated record. The transcript has 2 exons.
GAGUCUACAAUGCCGUAUAAUCCAGUUCAAAUUAGAUAAUCUGUAUUUUAUAGGCAGUGUGGAUCAGGCCUAAGUGCACUCUGCUUGUGCCCUGGGUGCCAUUUUGGCUGAGGGAGUUGCUAGGACAUGAAGGGGGUGGGGCCUAAAGGCAGUGGAGCCUACCUUUCUAACUGGCAGUUAGGGGGAGAAAGGCUCUUCCUCAUCCUCUGUAAUUUGGACUAUUUUUCUAGGUUUUUUUAAAAUUGAAAGACAUACCUUGGAUGACUAUGUCUUUUGUGGCCAAAUUUGGUGUGAUUGGGUUCAGUGGUUUUGCUGUUUACUCCAUAAUAAAUUGGCACAUUAAAUUUUUAUAUAUAUAGACUAGCUGUGCCCGGCCACGCGUUGCUGUGGCGUUGUCUGGUGGUGUUGGUGAGAACUUGUUGAGAUAGUGGUAGUAUUGAAUGUCUGUUGUAUGGUUGUCUUUAUGUUUAGUAUGCAUUUGGUUGUUUGUUUACUGUGAAAGUGGUGAGGGUAGAGGGGGUCUAUGUCCCUGUGUAGUAUUGUAUAGUAUUUAUACAUUGUCCAUGUGUUGUGAAUGCUUGGAUUGUGUCCUGCUGCAUGUAUAACAUGAUGUUUGGUGCUUAAUUUGUAUAAUCAUUACCUAAUUCGAUGUUUAAUCGGCUUUUCCUGAAUCCCUUCUUAUUAUCCAACAUAUUCACUUAUCCAAUGUUCUGUCGGCCUGUUUAUGUUGGAUAAGUGAGACUCUACUGUAUAUUAGUAAUCUUAUAUUAUCUGCCUAGAACUGCCCCUUCUACACAGCUGUAUAAAAUGCACACUGAAGUGAAUUAUCUGGCAGUGUGGACUCAAGAUAAUCCAGUUCAAAGCAUUAUCUGAUUAUAAAUGGGUAAUAUAGCUGUGUGGAAGGGCCUUGAGUCUACACUGCCAUAUAAUCCAGUUAAAAUCAGAUAAUCUGUAUCUUAUAGGCAGUGUGGAAGAGGCCUAAGGCCUAACUGUGCCUGUCUCCUGGGCUGAGUAGGUUGCUAGGAAACCAAGUGGGCAGAGUUUAGUCUUGUACCUGGCAGCAAUUGGAUAAAAAACAAUUAUUGCUCUCCCUCUAAUUAGGAUUUUAUUUUUAUUUUCUUUCUGUUGUAUGAACAUAGAGGCAUGGAUGAGGGGUUGUAUUGCCAAGUUUAGUGUUUCUGGGAUGUGUAGUUUUGUUGUUUUGUCCUAGGCCAAUUUUUUUUAUCCAUAGAUAGAUAGAUAGAUAGAUAGAUAGAUAGAUAGAUAGAUUGUGCAUUAAAGGCUUAAACCUUAUCUUUGAUGUGCUCCUGUGUACUGAAAGUAGAUGACCAAUCCCCUGACUGGAAGGCUGGGAGACUAAAGCUGAGAUCUCAAGGGUUUAAAACACUUCACAUGUGCUACAUUUAGCCUGUAGCAUGCUAGCUUGAGCAUUGGACUAGGGACAAAUCUACACUCACUAUGAAAUAUUGCUGUGCAUCAGCUCUCAGGAUUACAGAGCAUUUAACCAUGGAAGUUAAAGUGGUUCAAAUUGCAUUAAUUUUACAUUCUAGAUGCACUCUCUAACACAGAGCAAUGUAUUCAAAAUACAAGAAAAGAGAUUCUAUGUAAACAUUAGGAAGAACUUCCUGAUGGUAAGAACUAAUUGACAGUGAGGUAUGCUUUCUUGGAAUGUGGUGAAGUCGCCUUUUUUGGGCAUUUAAAAAUAGUGCUUUACUUAGGAGAUUUAUUACUAAUCUGUUUCUGUUUUAGAUUAUAAAGAUAGUCAUCAGCCUGUAGCAAAUAGACAUACUUGUCACCCAGGGCUGUAACCAAGGGGGGUGGGGCGGUUAGGGGUUCACCCUCCCAAAUCUUUCAGGUUUUUUUUAACUGGUUUACUCAUGAAUUUUAACUGGUUGACCAAAUCCCCAUGAGUGUCCAUGGAAGUUUAUCUGUCUUGAGUGUCCACUGAAGUUUAUCAAUGAAGCCUGAUUUCUAAAUUAUUUUGCAUUAUGGAACUGCUCUCCAUGAUUCUCUUUGUUCAUCGAGGGAGGCCCUUCUCUUGCUCCCGCCUCCAUUGCAAGCUUGGUUGGUGGGGAUGAGGGAGCGGGCCUUCUCUGUAGUGCCCCCCCCCCCCCCCCGGAUCUGGAACUCCCUCCCUAGAGAGAUCAGGCAGGCACCUACCCUUGCAUCUUUCAAAAAGGAAUUAAAAAUUUGGUUCUUUCAUUGCGCAUUUGAAUAAUUUAGUCCCCAUGACCUAAACUUACAAAUUAAUUGUUAUGGUUGAGCCUCAUGGCUCUACUACUGGGAGACGUGGGCGUAAGACUCCUCGAGAGUCAGAUACUCUCGAGGAGCGAGAAAGGAAGCGACUGCGAGAUAUCUUUGCAGAACCAUCUGACGAGGAUUCUUUUGAGGGGUUUACUGAGAGAAUGGAGGAAGAGAUGGUUAGCUCGGAAGAGGAUGACAUGGAAUGGACUCGUGUAAGGGAGGAUUUGGGUGCCACUGGCAAUGAUAGUAUGGAAGGCGAUUGGGGACCUUCAGGAUUAGACCCGUGGACAAGCUGGAGGGAUGGGACGGGAUCCACAGCUGGGGAUGCUGUGGGGCGUAGUCAAAGGUGUUCCAGUUCUGAUGAGGAAAGUGAUGAGGAAACGCCCGGGCUAAGGAGAACAGCUGAUAGCGAUGAGGACUUGUAACUGGCAUAAAAUGGGGUUUGGGAGCAAUAGCAAAUUGCGUUGGGCAAGGUAAUCUGGACGAACGCUUGGGAUCUGUGUGGGAAGUUUUCCUGAAGACGGGUGUGAUUCGUUUGCUGACUACCUUUGACCUUCCGUCGUCUUCUUGACGGACGCCAUCUGCUUACUCUGGACUUACGGACUGACUGACUACGGCCUCGGAUUCUCCUACCUGUGUCUAUCGUUGGAACUGGUGAACUACAAACGUCUGCAUCUGCCUUACGACCUUCGGAACGGAUUGGGACUUCGCUGACUGCUUCUGCCCUCGUCUGCUGUGUUUGUAUCGGGAAAUUGCCUGCUGUGUGGAGGAGUAACCUCUAAGUUACUCAAACAUAGCUCUUGGCAGCAGAGAAGCAUCUGCUGCCAAUUAGUUGCAUUCCUUUGAACUUUUUGUUCACCAGCUUCUGUUUGUUUAUUCCCAGGCUGAAGCAAGCUGUUUUGAUUUAACCCGGAUUAAACUCCGGUUUAAUCUGGUUUAUCUUUUGAACGUUUUUCUUGUCUCUUUUUACUUUUAAGGCCAGUGUUUGCCUAGCCCUUGUCUUUUACGGGCAUUUUUGGUUCUGUAACUCCAAUAAACUUUGUUAUCUUUUA